UACAGAGGUCCCAAGCGUUGUUCGGAUUCACUGGGCGUAAAGCGUGCGUAGGCGGUCCGCAAAGUCUGAUGUGAAAGCCCCGGGCUCAACCUGGGAACUGCAUUGGAAACUAACGGGCUCGAGUGUGGCAGAGGGGGGUGGAAUUCCACGUGUAGCAGUGAAAUGCGUAGAGAUGUGGAGGAACACCGAUGGCGAAGGCAGCCCCCUGGGCUAACACUGACGCUCAGGCACGAAAGCGUGGGGAGCAAACAGG
Molecule: ribosomal RNA, 253 nt
Filed under: uncultured bacterium
Lineage: Bacteria
Description: partial 16S ribosomal RNA
Rfam family: Bacterial small subunit ribosomal RNA
Source: RNAcentral